Chelonia mydas (Green sea turtle) is the source of this 492-nucleotide long non-coding RNA. RefSeq lists it as uncharacterized. The transcript has 3 exons. Lineage: Eukaryota; Metazoa; Chordata; Testudines; Cheloniidae. The record is from RefSeq and is a predicted model, not a curated record.
CAGGAAAUCAGGUUUUCGCUGCUUCACGUGCUGCAUGCUGGGAGAGCGCCAGAUAACAUGGUGACCCGCAGGAUGCAGCCUGCCUGAUGCAGAAUGUCUGAUCUGACCUCUCAUCUAUGACAAGGCAGGGGGCUCCAUUCUGCCAGUUGGGAAAACAACAUGUGCUCAUGUGGUGGGAACUGAAUAUGCGACAUAAUGAGCAACUGUUGAAGGGUCAUUAACAUGGCCACGGAUGCCAUCACUUGGAGUGGGAUGCUGACCUGCCUUUCGCAAGCUCUGAGAUUCCUCUCAGUGCACAGAGCGAUCCAAGACAGGCGUAGAAACAAAGACAUCUGUGUGUGACAAUGCGCGCGACAUGGACUGGUCUGCGAAACCCGUGCGCUCCGGGGAGAGCAGGGGGUCUUGGGAAUGGAGGCGCUCUGCAGACAAAAGCUGUUCAUCAGAGAGGAUCCGUUCAUAGGACAUGCUGAACUCCUCGGGCAUGACCCUCUC